GGAUGCGAUCGUACCAGCACUAAGGCACCAGAUCCCAUCAGAACUCCGAAGUCAAGCGUGCUUGGGCGAGAGUAGUACUAGGAUGGGUGACCUCCUGGGAAGUCCUCGUGUUAUAUUCC
Non-coding RNA from Triticum aestivum (bread wheat), 119 nucleotides. The record is from Rfam. NCBI's taxonomy places the organism in Eukaryota, Viridiplantae, Streptophyta, Magnoliopsida, Poales, Poaceae.